Molecule: transfer RNA, 86 nt
Filed under: Anaerohalosphaera lusitana
Lineage: Bacteria; Pseudomonadati; Planctomycetota; Phycisphaerae; Sedimentisphaerales; Anaerohalosphaeraceae
Description: Phycisphaerae bacterium ST-NAGAB-D1 tRNA
Rfam family: tRNA
About the family: Transfer RNA (tRNA) molecules are approximately 80 nucleotides in length. Their secondary structure includes four short double-helical elements and three loops (D, anti-codon, and T loops). Further hydrogen bonds mediate the characteristic L-shaped molecular structure. tRNAs have two regions of fundamental functional importance: the anti-codon, which is responsible for specific mRNA codon recognition, and the 3' end, to which the tRNAs corresponding amino acid is attached (by aminoacyl-tRNA synthetases). tRNAs cope with the degeneracy of the genetic code in two manners: having more than one tRNA (with a specific anti-codon) for a particular amino acid; and 'wobble' base-pairing, i.e. permitting non-standard base-pairing at the 3rd anti-codon position.
Source: Rfam by way of RNAcentral
GCCGGAGUGGUGGAAUUGGCAGACACGAGGGAUUCAAAAUCCCUUGGGGAUAACUCCCUGUGCGGGUUCGAGUCCCGCCUCCGGCA